CCAACCUCGGUCGCGGGGCCGAACAACCCCGUCGCCAUGAGCCAGCUGGGAACGGUUUACGCGACCAAACGCCGCCGGAGAAACGGAAAAAGUUGUGAUGCACAAGGACAAGGACGAGAGUGCUCACCACGAUUCGCAUUACCGAGCACGCGAGCUUGCUGCUCUUGCGGCGUACGACCACCAUCACCUAGACGGGGAAAUGUUCCUACAGGCGUUGAACGGAUUCCUGCUGAUCCUCACGUGCGACGGUGAAGUCUUCUUCGCAACUCACAGUAUCGAGAGUUACCUGGGCUUCCAUCAGUCCGACAUCGUUCACCAAAGCGUGUACGAGUUGGUGCACAGCGAGGACCGUGAGGAACUCCAAAGGCAAUUGAUGUGGAACUCCUUCCUACCCGCAGAAAGCGCCGGUCUUCCGCUUAACGACGCUCUGGCGCCUCAGCACGGACAUCUCCUCGAGCGCAGCUUUACCGUCCGCUUCCGGUGCCUCCUGGACAACACUUCCGGCUUCCUGCGCCUCGACAUCAGGGGUAGAGUUAAGGUCCUCCACGGGCAAAACCGGAAGACGGAAGAUCCGCCCUUGGCGCUGUUCGCCCUCUGCACCCCCUUCGGUCCACCCUCGUUGCUCGAGGUGCCACAGAAGGAGGUGAUGUUCAAGAGCAAGCACAAACUGGACCUCGCCCUCGUCUCCAUGGAUCAGCGGGGUAAAAUGCUGCUGGGUUACUCGGACGCCGAGCUGGCGAACCUGGGUGGCUACGACCUUGUGCACUACGACGAUCUCGCCUACGUGGCGAGUGCGCACCAAGAACUUCUAAAGACUGGAGCAUCCGGCAUGAUAGCCUACAGGUAUCAGACCAAGGACGGUGGUUGGCAGUGGCUUCAGACGAGUUCAAGGCUCGUCUACAAGAACUCAAAGCCGGAUUUCGUAAUCAGCACACACCGUCCAUUAAUGGAAGAAGAGGGUCGAGACCUGCUAGGCAAGCGAACGAUGGAUUUCAAGGUCAGCUACCUGGACGCGGGUCUGACGAACAGUUAUUUUUCGGACAGCGAUAGCCUCACGGGUUCAGGAAUAACACCAACGCUCCCGGCUCAGCCGACGCCACAGCGAGUGAACCGUCGCUACAAGACGCAGCUUCGAGAUUUCCUCUCGACCUGCAGAGGGAAGAGAACCAAGCUGACGAGUCAGUCCUCCUCAUCACCGCCAGCGACGCCGAGUGUGGCAUCUGUCGAUUACCUGACUGCUGACACGAGCGCGGCAGCGGCAGUGGCCGCGGCAUACAGCAACCUCAACAACAUGUACCCAACCGCAUACGCGCCGACGGCGGUCGCCGCGACGAGCGAUCCGUCGUUGACGACGUACAUCGGACACACGGGCAACUACCAUCAGACCUUGUACCCUGCUGGUGCCCUGGACAACCGCUACCUAACGGCAACGGAGAACCUCUUCCAGUACCGUCCGUUGGGUUCCUACUACCCCGAGUACCACGCGACAACCGGUGCCUACAACGGUUUCCUCGACGUCUCGCUGCCCACCUACGACCCCCACCAACUGACGAGUUCGUCGUCGGGCAAAGGGGACGAUAAGCUUUACUGCCAACAACUGGCCGACUCCCCGAAGUACGGGUACGUCGAGGCUCGGCAUCCGGGCAGCGUUGGUUCCCCCUACGCGGCCAGUCCGGUAGCCACGGUGCCGGUGGUCCAUGGUCCGGGAAGUCGUCACUCUCUGGAGGGUGGUGCUUCGUCCAGCAAUUCGGCAGGCAGUUCGCCGGUGACGAGUGCUGGGACAGGCGUCCUUACACCGAAGAUGGAGGACGUCAAGCCGGACGUAAUUUACGGCGGCGAGGCACCCAGACAGACGGUGCUCAUGUGGGGUGCACCACCGUCCAGGUCACCGCCACGGAACAACGGCGCCUACAGUCCCCCGAUAUCACAUUCCCAGACAACCCCAAACGACCCCUUGAAAUCGCUUGCGGAGAUGAACUCUGUAAACGGUGAUUGCAAGUGGAAGCAGACCUCGCCCAACGGGCAAACCACCAGUGUCGCCUCAUCGACUAGUCCGACGAGGAGCAAGGCUCAGCAACAACAGCAGCAGCAGCAGCAGCAGCAGCAGCAGCAGCAGGCUCAGCAUCAGGGUCAGCAGCACCAUCAGCAGUACGCUGUGACUGCCGCCCAUUACGCCACUCCUGCUGGAUACCCGCACCCUCAUUCGGGACACGGUCACUCCGAGGGCGGUUCGGAGGUAUGGCAAGGAGUCCAGCAUCACCAUCACCACUACCAGUACUAUCCUUACCACCAUCACCAUCACCAGCACCACCAGCACCACCAGAAUCACCCCGCACCGCCGCAAAGGCACGGGACACUGCAAUGUGCGCCCCACACGUCACCGGGAUCGUUGUCGGGGGGAGGAAUUGCCGGGGUAAUGGGGACGAGACUGUCGAUGGAAACGGGCAACGGCAACACCAGCAACAGCACCAGCAACAGCAACACCACCAACACCAGCAACAGCACCAGCAACAGCAACACCAUCAACAACAGCAGCCGCAGCACCAGCACCACCACCAUCACCACCACCAGCAGCAGCAUCACAACCAUCAGCAACAGCAGCAACACCAACAUCAGCAACAGCAACAGCGUAUCGUACCAUCUGGCCCAUCACAACCAUCACGGUGUGGUCCCAAUAGUGGGCUCGCAGAUCCAAAGCCGGACACCGGGAGUCCUUUGCUGUCCAUCUCUGAGGUGACAAACACCCUGCUCAACCAGUAGCCAUCGAUAAAAGAUCCAACGUAUCUAUUCGUUGUAGUCGACAAUUCUUCGCGACUAGAACGAUGAAGGACUUGUAUGAAAGUAAGGGCCUCUCCAGGCGAAUUAUCACCGUAUUAUAUUGCCCUGCGUUGCAGGCUGUCUGUUAAAUCGACCGAUCAUGGAAUUUAUAAGUGCGCAAAUUGUACCAUACAAGAUGAAAAAAUUAUCAGUUCAAUUAAUCGAGAAUUAUAAAUUCUAUACACGUGUAUAAUGUAUAGGAUGAUAUAUCCUGUAAUAUAAAUAUACACAUGCACAGAGUGAAUUCCUAACGACUGCAUGGACCGUCGUUUGCUAAAAUUUAAUGCAUACGAGCUACAAUCCGAGAACGACCGUUUGCCAGGGUGACCAACUGUCUCUAGCUGUCAAAAAUUUUGAAGUUACUUACAUGGCUGCGUGCUGUCGACUAAAUUUGUGAGAGUUAGUUGCCUUGACUUAGAGCCGCUCUCGGAUCGAGCGCAUGCGCAUUAAAUUUUAGUAGCCGAUAGACCGCGCAGUCGGUAUAAAUUAACUCUGUACAUACCCAUUUACUGAUCGUUAUGCAUGGAUAAGUAACAUGCCUUAUUGGAGUAUCGACGUAUGUCAUCUAAAAGAAGAGAUCGAUUCCACUCAAUUACACUACAAAAAUGAGGUAGGAAUGGAAGAAAAUUUUUAAUUCACCCCGAAACAGGCUCGUGGAUUAUUGAUUUUAUCCUCUUAAUUUUUUUGGUGGAAGCCGUGCAGAUUGUAAAUUAGACGUCAGAUAUUCAAAAUUGAUGAAAUCAGAUCGAACCAAUUGAGACAACCGCCAUGAAUUCCAGUAGAAGCACAAACUUACUGUACCUAACUCAAAAUAAACGCAACACAGAUCUGUAUUACGUUUGGAAGCGUAACAUGAAUUAAUUCCUAUUUGACCUACAUAUAUAGGUAUAUAUAUAUAUAUGAUAAUUUAUAUACAUAUACUGUACGUGUAAGAGAAUAAGAAAACUAUAUAUUAUAUAUAAAUUUAAUAUCGUAAAUAAUUAUAUCCAAUAUACACAAAAGUGUACAACGAUUCUGUAUAAUAAUUAUAAUAAAUAAUAAAAAAUAGAAAUAAAGAUAAUAAUAAUUAUAAUAAUGGUAAUAGAUGAAUAAAUAAUACUGCAGUAAAUAGGUAAUAAAUAAUGAUUAUAACAAUAAUAUCAAUAAUAGAUAUCGUGCUUGUAUAAUUACGAAAUGAAAUACGUAUUCUGUGAUAAGUGUUAGAUGAUUAUUUCGACACGAAAAUCGUCAGAGACGUACUUGGUUGCAGGAUGAUAUAGCGAGAAUUACGGCAAAGAAAGAGAGAGAGUAAAAAAAAAAAGGGGAAAUGAAAAAUAAAACUAAUACAAGCAAUAAUAAUUAAUCACCUGGAACAUUAAUUG
This 4178-nucleotide unclassified non-coding RNA is filed under the name Neodiprion lecontei (redheaded pine sawfly). Its description in RNAcentral is "neuronal PAS domain-containing protein 1, transcript variant X8". Lineage: Eukaryota; Metazoa; Arthropoda; Insecta; Hymenoptera; Diprionidae. The record is from RNAcentral.